AGAGUUUGAUCAUGGCUCAGGAUGAACGCUGGCGGCGUGCCUAACACAUGCAAGUCGAGCGAUUUACUUCGGUAAAGAGCGGCGGACGGGUGAGUAACGCGUGGGUAACCUGCCUCAUACACAUGGAUAACAUACCGAAAGGUAUGCUAAUACAAGAUGAUAUAAGAGAUUCGCAUGAGUUUCUUAUCAAAGCUCCGGCGGUAUGAGAUGGACCCGCGUCUGAUUAGCUAGUUGGUAAGGUAACGGCUUACCAAGGCGACGAUCAGUAGCCGACCUGAGAGGGUGAUCGGCCACAUUGGAACUGAGACACGGUCCAAACUCCUACGGGAGGCAGCAGUGGGGAAUAUUGCACAAUGGGCGAAAGCCUGAUGCAGCAACGCCGCGUGAGCGAUGAAGGCCUUCGGGUCGUAAAGCUCUGUCCUCAAGGAAGAUAAUGACGGUACUUGAGGAGGAAGCCCCGGCUAACUACGUGCCAGCAGCCGCGGUAAUACGUAGGGGGCUAGCGUUAUCCGGAUUUACUGGGCGUAAAGGGUGCGUAGGUGGUUUCUUAAGUCAGGAGUGAAAGGCUACGGCUCAACCGUAGUAAGCUCUUGAAACUGGGAAACUUGAGUGCAGGAGAGGAAAGUGGAAUUCCUAGUGUAGCGGUGAAAUGCGUAGAUAUUAGGAGGAACACCAGUAGCGAAGGCGGCUUUCUGGACUGUAACUGACACUGAGGCACGAAAGCGUGGGGAGCAAACAGGAUUAGAUACCCUGGUAGUCCACGCCGUAAACGAUGAGUACUAGGUGUCGGGGGUUACCCCCCUCGGUGCCGCAGCUAACGCAUUAAGUACUCCGCCUGGGGAGUACGCUCGCAAGAGUGAAACUCAAAUGAAUUGACGG
RNAcentral lists this ribosomal RNA (879 nucleotides) under uncultured bacterium. RNAcentral describes it as "bacterial SSU rRNA". It matches the Rfam family "Bacterial small subunit ribosomal RNA", at positions 8 to 916 of the family's 1533-position model. The record is from RNAcentral.